This 253-nucleotide ribosomal RNA is filed under the name uncultured bacterium. RNAcentral's name for it is "partial 16S ribosomal RNA". It matches the Rfam family "Bacterial small subunit ribosomal RNA", at positions 524 to 776 of the family's 1533-position model. The record is from RNAcentral.
UACGUAGGGUGCAAGCGUUAAUCGGAAUUACUGGGCGUAAAGCGUGCGCAGGCGGUUUUGUAAGUCAGAUGUGAAAUCCCCGGGCUCAACCUGGGCACGGCAUUUGAGACUGCAAGGCUAGAGUGUGUCAGAGGGGGGUAGAAUUCCACGUGUAGCAGUGAAAUGCGUAGAGAUGUGGAGGAAUACCGAUGGCGAAGGCAGCCCCCUGGGAUAACACUGACGCUCAUGCACGAAAGCGUGGGGAGCAAACAGG